CCAAUGAGCAGCGGCUGAAUGCAGAACCGGUUCAGACCGGUUUCGUUCUUAUAUUUCACUGUAUAAACUACAAAAACAUUCGUUUGCAUUACACAUUCGCCAUUUUACGCUCAGACCUGUCGCCUGUCGUCGGUUUCCUCUCCGGGAAAAAAACCUGUUUCACGAUUAUAUUUUUGUGAGCUUUUGGUUUCUUUGCAGCCAGCAACAUGGUCAAGUCAAAGCAAACCGUGCCCCCUGAGAACCAAAGACGCUCCAAACGGGUGGCAGCGCAACUAUCUAAAGCUCCUCCUGUGGAGACCAAGAAGAAAGCUGCUCCGAAGAAGGCACCCAAAGCAAAGAAGGCCAAGCCAGCCGAGAAUGGAAGCACCAAGGCUGAGGAGCCCAAGGCUGAAGCCACUGAAGCCAAAUGAAGAACAGCUGAUGUGCUCACUCUGUGUACUUGGUGAUUGUACAGUUUUAAAUAAGUAUUUUUUACCAAGUUUUAUAUUACAAAUGUCAUUUAUAGGUUUGUGUUCGGCUUGCACUUGAUGUAACAAGUUUGUUUUCACAUUCAUAUCUCAUUUUAUAUCCAUUUUAAAACGAGUUCCGUCCAUAUCUUAUAUCUUGUAGACGUGGCAUUUAUAGAUUGUCUAAUCCAGUUUUUUUUUUUUUCGAACUGCUGAUUAAUAGUUAUUUUCCAACAAGUUGUGUUUUGAGUCUAAUUAUGAGGCAGCUAAAGCAAUUUAAACUUUGCAGGAGAAGAGAAAUUUUGGCUUUGUAUCUUCUUGUAUUUUGAUGUUGACCUAAUAAAAAGAGUUGCUUACCAAAUGUUUUGAAACACUAUGUCGAUAUGAGAUUUAGUGAGUUUUAAAAAAAAUGCCACCACAAACUUAUUAGGUCAAAAGUUUCAUGCAUCCCAAAAACCUGUAAUCUGUGAACCCAGUCCUCUCAAUGAAGGUUCUGUUAAGUUAUGUUUCUGAAAGCUUUUCUGACUUUAAUGGUUGAUCUAAGUGUUGAAUAAAAAUGUCAAAACGU
Long non-coding RNA from Salarias fasciatus (jewelled blenny), 1014 nucleotides. RefSeq lists it as uncharacterized. Lineage: Eukaryota; Metazoa; Chordata; Actinopteri; Blenniiformes; Blenniidae. The transcript has 6 exons. The record is from RefSeq and is a predicted model, not a curated record.